RNAcentral lists this unclassified non-coding RNA (204 nucleotides) under Hevea brasiliensis (rubber tree). Lineage: Eukaryota; Viridiplantae; Streptophyta; Magnoliopsida; Malpighiales; Euphorbiaceae. The record is from RNAcentral.
GUCCAUUCCUCUUCUCUCCUUUCUCAAUCUCUCACUCUCUCUUACUAAAUCAUGGAUCUUCUCUCCCUAAAAUCCACUGUUUUAGUCUUAAAAAAGCAUGGUAGGAACUACCUCCUUGGGUUAAAAUUUGACUAUCUGCAGCUUCAAGGCUUUUAGUUUUUGAGAUUGUUACCCUUCUAGAAGAAAAGAAGAAAGAUUUUCAGG